Molecule: long non-coding RNA, 786 nt
Filed under: Dermacentor andersoni
Lineage: Eukaryota; Metazoa; Arthropoda; Arachnida; Ixodida; Ixodidae
Description: uncharacterized LOC126527024
Source: RNAcentral
AAUGUGUGCUCGCGGAUAAAAAAGAAUGUAAGCUACUUUUUUUAUCGUAACAUCCGCUAAAACGUUAGAGAGGCCAAGAAACUUGCGGCUUGCUUACAAGUAUAAAAACUCAGAACAGUUCCAGAGCUUUACACAGUGACCGUCAAGGCAGAAACGGAGACCAAAUCAAGCCUGCAUCUUCAUCGCCAUUCGCCAUGAACUCCUACGUUAUCUUGGCACUCGUCAUCCUGGGGCACCUGUGUCAAAUUCACGCAGCCACGCUGAGUAAGCCGGCAAGGAACACAGACGACGCAACGAAAGAACUCACGGAAAGGAUUUCCCGUUCCCUAAUGCAGCACCGUGAGGACAUCAUUGGUGCCUUCGAGGCACUCGAAAAGUCUGCCGACAGCUUCGGCGACGAAACCGACGAGCAGGCCAUUCCGGCCGUAGUUGUGGCCGUCGCGGGGGCCAUCGCAAACGGCGCCAUAUCCGGCGCUGUCGGGGCUGCUGUCGCGAACUUGAUUAACAAAGGCUGAAUACAAUAAAUUGCAUCUUCUUUAUCAUGACGUAUACCUGAUUAUUUCCCAAUGAAAUGAGCUGUAACUUAUAUGAAACGUUUUUCUAGACUCAACCACUCGAGAUUCGCAGUGAAAAAUAUUAUUUACGGCUCCACCUAGUUAUCAUACAUCGACAACGUAUAGACACGUAAACAUGUCCCUCUGCGUUGAAAAGAUGCGUGAAAGAAGCCGGGUUUCACUGGAGACUAGUAGCGUACAUAGUGAAGCAGUCGUUCGCGAAGUAUCGCCG